Molecule: small RNA, 177 nt
Organism: Marinilactibacillus sp. 15R
Lineage: Bacteria; Bacillati; Bacillota; Bacilli; Lactobacillales; Carnobacteriaceae
Rfam family: Listeria sRNA rli28
Source: Rfam
AAAAUCAUGAUGUACUAUACUUGUAGCAAGUUAAAAUAGUUGCUAUCUUGGAUCGUGGUGAUGCUUAUAUAUGUAAGUGUUAAAACCUUAGAAAGGAUAAGCCUUUUUGUCCAUAGCUGAAGCGUUACAGCUUAUAAUUGCUUUUGGCAGUCUUUUGAUUUUCCUAAUUAAUCUUGU